AAGAUCAUACUUCACAGGAUCAUUUCUGUAGUAUAUCUUCAAAACUGCUUAGCGUAAAGCUGAAACGGUGCAACCACGAUGAGGAGGCGGAACCCUUUUCCUUGAGCGUGAGGACAACUUAUAGUCUUGGAUUUUAUUCAAGAUUAUAGUUACUGAUGAUCGUUACAGAGUAAGAGGAGUUAUGGGAAGAUGGGUUUUCUGAGUUGU
Molecule: small nucleolar RNA, 207 nt
Filed under: Polistes fuscatus (common paper wasp)
Lineage: Eukaryota; Metazoa; Arthropoda; Insecta; Hymenoptera; Vespidae
Description: small nucleolar RNA U3
Rfam family: Small nucleolar RNA U3
About the family: Small nucleolar RNAs (snoRNAs) are involved in the processing and modification of rRNA in the nucleolus.
Source: RNAcentral